Molecule: long non-coding RNA, 357 nt
Filed under: Brassica napus (rape)
Lineage: Eukaryota; Viridiplantae; Streptophyta; Magnoliopsida; Brassicales; Brassicaceae
Description: long non-coding RNA (BNAP_LNC010667)
Source: RNAcentral
UUGAAAUGAUCAUCCACUUCUUUACCAAACUCAAGCACUAUGAUCACCCACUCCUUUACCAACUCAAGCACUAUGAUCAUCUACUCAUCAAACACUAUGAUCACCCACUCAUUUACCAAAUUAAUAUCUUUGUUAUUUUAUGUAUUGUUGUUCACUAUAAAUACCAUCACUCAUCUCACUCUUUUGUACACCAUAAACAAGAACAAGAGUAAUUCAUCAAAGAAUCAUUACAUUUUCUUCUUCCUCCUUAUAAUAAACUCUCUCCCUUAUACUAGUGUUAUUUGCUUCCUACGGGUAUUAAAUUCUACUCUUAUUUAAAUUUCACGAUACUAUAAAUUAUAAGUUAUUUCAUAACAA